CGAAACUAGCCGGUGUAAACCGGAGGAAGGUGGGGGAGUGACGUCAAAUCAGCACGGCCCUUAUGUCCAGGGCUACACACGUGUUACAAUGGUAGAUACAAUGGGCAGCCACCUGGUGACAGGGAGCUAAUCCUAAAAGUCUAUCUCAGUUCGGAUCGAAGUCUGCAACCCGACUUCGUGAAGCUGGAUUCGCUAGUAAUCGGAUAUCAGCCAUGAUCCGGUGAAUACGUUCCCGGGCCUU
This 241-nucleotide ribosomal RNA is filed under the name uncultured Sphingobacteriales bacterium. RNAcentral describes it as "partial 16S ribosomal RNA". It matches the Rfam family "Bacterial small subunit ribosomal RNA", at positions 1144 to 1382 of the family's 1533-position model. The record is from RNAcentral. Lineage: Bacteria; Pseudomonadati; Bacteroidota; Sphingobacteriia; Sphingobacteriales.